GGCGCGGUCGUCUAGAGGCCUAGGAUACCUGGUUUUCAUCCAGGAGAUCACGGGUUCGAAUCCCGUCCGCGCUGCCA
RNAcentral lists this transfer RNA (77 nucleotides) under Candidatus Berkelbacteria bacterium. RNAcentral describes it as "tRNA-Glu". It matches the Rfam family "tRNA". From Rfam's summary of the family: Transfer RNA (tRNA) molecules are approximately 80 nucleotides in length. Their secondary structure includes four short double-helical elements and three loops (D, anti-codon, and T loops). Further hydrogen bonds mediate the characteristic L-shaped molecular structure. tRNAs have two regions of fundamental functional importance: the anti-codon, which is responsible for specific mRNA codon recognition, and the 3' end, to which the tRNAs corresponding amino acid is attached (by aminoacyl-tRNA synthetases). tRNAs cope with the degeneracy of the genetic code in two manners: having more than one tRNA (with a specific anti-codon) for a particular amino acid; and 'wobble' base-pairing, i.e. permitting non-standard base-pairing at the 3rd anti-codon position. Lineage: Bacteria; Candidatus Berkelbacteria. The record is from RNAcentral.